CGGAACGAAGUGGCCGAGGCGAGGAGUGUGUGCCUCUAGCCGAGUGCAAAGUACUCGGUGGUGACGAUUUUUGUGUGUGCGACGAGUGUGCUGCUUCGUUUCUGCGCCUUCGAAGAGAAGACGAAUAAUAUAAUUUUUGGCGCGCGACAUACGUCAAGGCGCCAAUAUAUGUUGUAGAAUAAACAAGCAAAAGCACGAAAUAUACUUUGGGGCGCUAGACAGAAAUAUACUUAGUAUCAAAUAAUAAGUUUUGUGUGUUUGUGUAUAUAUAUAUACAUAUGUAUAUGAGUUAAGUUGAUUUUUUUCCUUCUGUCACGGCUUGAUGAGUUGGACCUUUUCGCCGUCAUUGGUCGUCACCACGGUCGCCGCCGACAGCGAAAAUGCGCGUGUGGUCGCUUGUUGACACUGACAUGCAGUGACAGUUAACAUUUGUUUGAAAAGGCAGCAAAACGGAAAGAAACAAACAGCAAAAAGUGACAACACAAAAGCACUUGAAACAAAUGUGGCAACAGCAACAGCAAAAACAAAAAGAAACAACAACGCGCACACGCACACUCAACGCCUCGAGGCAUUAAAACAAUAGCGUGCUACGUGUUUGUGUGUGCGUCUGACAGUGAAGUGAGCAAACGCAUGUGUAAAUUGUUAUUGCAUAUGUUUAGGCGCAUAGCCCCGUGAGACGUUUAACAUAAUGCGAACGUGUUAGCACCAGUCUACUGCUUGCCCACACAAGCUGACUCAGCACAAGUGUGUACGUGUGCAAAUACGUAUGUGUUUGUGCGGUUGGCACAAAAGCACAAAAUAAUUAUAAAAACAAAUACAAAAAGACAAUGCGUACUGACUGACAUUUUCAAGUGUGUUGUCCAGAGGCAAUUGACGUAGGCCGCAGCGGUGUCAGCUAUUUGUUGGCCCAGCACCACUACACGCAUACGAGGCAGUGUCGUUUUAAAUGCGUUCGACGCGUUGGGCUUCACCUUUAUUGUGCUGUCAUAACAUAAUUUUAGGCGUUUCGCAUAAAGUACCCUUGCCGUGCGUUACAGCUGCAGCAGGUUGAAGAGCUGUUAUGAAAUGCGCGGCACUAAAUGGCGCAUACAAGUGUGGGUAAUGCUAUGCACAAUGCACACGCAUAACAUAUGAGCAAUUAAGGAGGAAAUUGAGUGAAGGUUAUUAUGUAAAAGUUCAUUCCAUCCACCGUGAACUUUUAAUAUGAAACAUAGCUUGCCAGAAAAUUUAUAUUGACCGAAUAAAUAAAAAAAAAUAUAAAUAAAUAAAUGUAACGUCGCCGGAAUACAUUUUGAAACGCUAGUUUUAGUUAAGCGGAAUCGUUCCCGUUCCCACGGCAGACGGGUCUACAUAACCGAAACGAAUUUUUCAUCCGGUCAAGGACUGUCAACUUGAAAGAAUUCUGCCUCUUCAACAACAGCAGUAACGAAGGAAACUUUAAUUCCUAAUUACUUCCUUUCACAGCUGAGUUAUAUUAAGGACAGCUGACAAGCUUUUAAAAAGUGUUUUUAUGGUAGCAAUAUUUUAAGAAAAAAAUACUAAUUUAGAAAAGAUGAACAAAAGUAAAUCUAUGGCGCCGCCCUCAAAUUAAUCCUCUUUAUGUUAACGUUUCUUCCAAACCUCGAAACAGUCAAUUUCCGAAAUAGUCGUCAAUACGCAUAGUGAUUCCAGUGUACUGGCUUCAAUUUCGUUUCGCCACAGCGGACGUUUGCGUUUGCUAAAUAGGCUGCAGUCACACGGAGCGAAUACGGUGGUUGCGGAACGAUUUGAAUGAAAAUUUAGAGAAAAACUUAAGAAGGAUCAAUGAAUUUCAUAAAAUCGCGGCAGUGCAUUUUCGUGGCGC
Long non-coding RNA from Bactrocera tryoni, 1843 nucleotides. RefSeq lists it as uncharacterized. Lineage: Eukaryota; Metazoa; Arthropoda; Insecta; Diptera; Tephritidae. The record is from RefSeq and is a predicted model, not a curated record. The transcript has 3 exons.